UACGUAGGGACCGAGCGUUGUCCGGAAUCAUUGGGCGUAAAGAGCGUGUAGGCGGCUUGUUAAGUCUGAUGUGAAAGCCCACGGCUCAACCGUGGAGGGUCAUUGGAAACUGGGGGACUUGAGUGCAGAAGAGGAGAGUGGAAUUCCACGUGUAGCGGUGAAAUGCGUAGAGAUGUGGAGGAACACCAGUGGCGAAGGCGACUCUCUGGUCUGUAACUGACGCUGAGGCGCGAAAGCGUGGGGAGCGAACAGG
Molecule: ribosomal RNA, 253 nt
Filed under: uncultured bacterium
Lineage: Bacteria
Description: partial 16S ribosomal RNA
Rfam family: Bacterial small subunit ribosomal RNA
Source: RNAcentral